GACGAACGCUGGCGGCGUGCUUAACACAUGCAAGUCGAACGGAAAGGCCCGGCUUUUGUUGGGUUCUCGAUUGGCGAACGGGUGAGUAACACGUGUGUAACCUGCCCUUGACUUUGGGAUAACUUCAGGAAACUCGGGCUAAUAUCGGAUAGGAGCUCCUGCUGCAUGGUGGGGGUUGGAAAGUUUCGGCGGUUGGGGCUGGAUUCGCGGGUUAUCAGCUUGUUGGUGGAGUUGUGGCUUACCACGGCUUUGACGGGUAGCCGGCCUGAGCGGGUUGCCAGGCACCAGAGUCCUGAGGGAGGGCACAGAAUGCAACGGGCCGCAGUAGGGGGGAAUAUUGCAGAAUGGGCCGACGUCUGAGAUAGAAACGCUGCGUGCGGGAUGCCGGCCUUCGGGUUGAAAACCGAUUUCGCAGGUGACGAAGCGUGCGUGACGGUAAUGGGUAAAGAAGCACCGGCUAACUACGUG
This 468-nucleotide ribosomal RNA is filed under the name uncultured bacterium. RNAcentral's name for it is "partial 16S ribosomal RNA". It matches the Rfam family "Bacterial small subunit ribosomal RNA", at positions 28 to 507 of the family's 1533-position model. The record is from RNAcentral.